RNAcentral lists this ribosomal RNA (254 nucleotides) under uncultured Eubacteriales bacterium. RNAcentral's name for it is "uncultured Clostridiales bacterium partial 16S ribosomal RNA". It matches the Rfam family "Bacterial small subunit ribosomal RNA", at positions 524 to 776 of the family's 1533-position model. The record is from RNAcentral. Lineage: Bacteria; Bacillati; Bacillota; Clostridia; Eubacteriales.
UACGGAGGGGGCGAGCGUUGUCCGGAAUGACUGGGCGUAAAGGGUGUGUAGGCGGUUUAUUAAGUUAGAAGUGAAAUACCCAGGGCUUAACUCGGGUGCUGCUUCUAAAACUGUAUGACUUGAGUGCAGUAGAGGUUAGUGGAAUUCCUAGUGUAGCGGUGGAAUGCGUAGAUAUUAGGAGGAACACCAGAGGCGAAGGCGGCUUACUGGACUGUAAAUGACGCUGAGGCUCGAAAGCGUGGGGAGCAAACAGG